This 203-nucleotide long non-coding RNA is filed under the name Carica papaya (papaya). Its description in RNAcentral is "long non-coding RNA (CPAP_LNC001928)". Lineage: Eukaryota; Viridiplantae; Streptophyta; Magnoliopsida; Brassicales; Caricaceae. The record is from RNAcentral.
CUAGAAGUUAAGAAAACUUGCCAUCAAGGAAUAAGUACUGAAUAAUUUUAUUAAUUUGUAAAUGGCUCCUCGUUAGGAGGAUUAAAUACAACUUUCUUGUUAAAGCAAUCUAUGGUGGCGUGAUACGCCGCUAGCCAAUCCAUUCCUAAGAUUACAUUAAAAUCCCCUGCGUCUAACCCUACCAAGUCUACACUCAGUUUCCU